AUAUCACUAAUCAUCAGGGAAAUGCACAUUAAAACCACAAUGAGAUAACAUCUCACCCAGUUAAAAUGGUUAUUAUCAAAAAGGCAAAAAACAAAUCCUGGCAAAGGUAUGAAGAGAAAAGGAAACACUCAUACACUGCUGGUAGGAACAUACAUUACUACAGCCACUAUAAAAAAAAAACAGUAUAGAGAUUCCUCAAAAAACUGAAAAUAGAACUACCAUAUGAUCCAGCAGAUCACUUGAGCCCAGAAGGUCAAGGCUGCAGUGAGCCAUGAUCUCAAGAUACUAACUAUAACUGUUCUCUAUUUCAACAAAGAAACUAAACGUAGUAAUAAUUAAGAAUAACUCCUUGACCCACAGAUGGUUAAAAUAAUGGAAUGGCAAAAAGAGAAGGCAAGCAGUUUUCAUUUCUGCAACAAUUUUAUGAAAAGAGCAUAUCAGGAAAAAUAGCCACUCAUUUAUUGACGUCAGGGUACUGGACCAUAUCAUCCUUUUAGGUUCCUUCUAAUCCUGUAAUUUUCUGUUGAAAAAUUAUAUAAACCAUUCCAAAAAUAGAAAUGAUUUUUCUGUUACUCACACAUCAUCUUAACUGGUUAUCUUGGAGGAGCUGUGUGCAUGCUGGCAUCCCCUCUAAUUAUUAACCGGAUUUACACGUUG
This 657-nucleotide long non-coding RNA is filed under the name Pan troglodytes (chimpanzee). Its description in RNAcentral is "long non-coding RNA NONPTRT003927". Lineage: Eukaryota; Metazoa; Chordata; Mammalia; Primates; Hominidae. The record is from RNAcentral.